GUCGACCGCCAUUUUGUGAAAAAACAUUACAUUACACGCGCUUACGGUGGCGGUUACGCAUUGGAGAUUUUAGGUGAUUUAUAUCUUUUUCUGGAAUAUAGUGAUAGAAGCAGUGUUUUGUUAGUUCACAGGUAAAAUUUGAGCAAUGGACAAUCAAAGAGAGAAGGAAAGGGACCGCUCUAGACGCGGUGAUAGGCCUUCUAGAUUUUCUGAUGCCACUCGAGAUCGUUCUAAUGAACGUUCUGAUCGGUCAGAUGGUAAACGUCUGUUUGUAUCCAAUAUACCGUAUGAGUUUCGCUGGACAGAAUUGAAAGAUCUGUUCAAGGAAAAGGUGGGAGAUGUGGCAUAUGUGGAGCUAUUUAAUGAUGAAAAUGGAAAACCCAGGGGAUGUGGUGUUGUGGAAUUCACCAAUUCUGAAGCUAUGAAGAAAGCACUGUUUGUCAUGCACAGAUAUGAACUUAAUGGACGAAAACUUGUGCUAAAAGAGGAAACUGGAAAUGAAAGGAAUAGAUUGACCACUUCAAGGUCAGGAGGUGGUGGUGGUGGUGGUGGGGGCUCCAGAAAUACUAAAGAUGAUAGAGAUGGCUGGGGAGUAAACAAGCCAAGGGAACCAGAAAACUUCAACACAUAUGGGCUUAGUCUUCAGUUCUUAGAAUCCAUCAAUGUUCAGCCACCAUUGGUAAAGAAAGUCUUUGUUGCAAAUCUGGACUACAAAGCAGACCGUAACAAGAUUAAAGAAGUUUUCAAAAUGGCGGGCAAAGUGCGUAAUAUCGACCUGGCGGUAGAUAAAGAUGGUAACAGUCGCGGGUUCGCCGUCAUAGAAUAUGACCAUCCAGUUGAAGCUGUUCAGGCAAUUUCAAUGUUUGACAAACAGACUUUGUAUGAGAGAAGGAUGACAGUAAGAAUGGACAGAGGUACAGAUAAAGCUGAAUUAAGGAUGCCUGAUGGCCUUAAAGGGAUUGGUUUGGGUUUGGGACCUAAUGGGGAGCCAUUAAGGGAUGUGGCGAGGAAUUUGCCACAGCCUCAAACACAGAAUAAUCUGAACCUCACAAGUACAGGCUCGACCCUUGGCACUAGUGUUCUUGGUGCUGUGCCUGCUGCUGGUGUUACCCUGAACGGCCUUGGCACUGGAUUAUCAGCAAAUACUCUUAAUACAAACACUGCGCUAGGUGGAGGCUUGGGAUUGCAGGCUUUAGGAUUAACAGGAUUAGGAGCGCUACAAAACCAAUUACUCCAACAAGGUUUGACUGCAAGUGACCUGGCGACGAUGCUCACGGCCCAGGCUCAGGUAGCCAAUGUAAACAACGCAGCCACUUUGAGUCUUGCCAACGCGGACCUCACUUCUAAUGUUCUCGGCAACUCUGGACUGUCAAAUAAUGUUUUGGGUGGCAAUUCUUCCAUGAGCAGUGGACCACUUUCAGCGAGCAGACAAAUGGGCGGUAUGUCGUCGGUAUCGAACCAGGGUUACAGCCGUGAGUCAUCAGUACAGCAUCAACAGUCGAACAGAGAUAAGCCCUCCGACAUCGUCGUUAUCACCAAUCUUCCGCCUACAGUAACAUGGCAGUUGAUCCGCGAGAAGUUCAGCGAGUGUGGCGACGUGAAGUUCGCGGAGAUGACCGCGCCAGACACGGCUAUCGUGCGCUUCCAUAAGGAAUGGGACGCGGAAAGAGCUAUCAAAAUGUUUGACAGGACCCGCAUUGAUGGCAGGACUAUCGAUGUUCGUUUCUUCUAAGUUGACGGGAAUUACCAACAGGAAAUUAAUGCAUUAAAUGGAAUUUAAAUGAUGUCUUAUACGACACUGAGAAUCUCGGAUACUAAAGAAUUGCAUGGCCAAGUCGAAGGGAAUUGGACGAUAUGUAAAACCAACAGGCAUGCAGUCUUGGAAGUGUAGAGCGUUGGACCAAGGAAGGUGCAGUCGUGAAGUCUUGAACCAUGCAGUGGAUGACGAGCUGGUCGGUAAGUACAUUUUAUGGUG
This 1975-nucleotide unclassified non-coding RNA is filed under the name Pectinophora gossypiella (pink bollworm). RNAcentral's name for it is "heterogeneous nuclear ribonucleoprotein M". The record is from RNAcentral. Lineage: Eukaryota; Metazoa; Arthropoda; Insecta; Lepidoptera; Gelechiidae.